CGGUUUUUAAACAAACUGCUGAUGACAAAAUGACAUAUUUAUUUCUGAACGAAAAUCUGUCUGUGGAUGGCCGAAUUUUGUUUACUUUGAAUGAAUUGAAUGUUGGGAUCGAAGGUGGAUUAAAUACAAAUAGUUAUUUAGAGAUGAAUCAAUUAAACAUGCACGGUAAUGUGUCAGCAAACCCCGCAGUGGGUGCAGCACCGAACGUGGGUAUGCACAUACCGCCGGCUGGCACGGUGAUGCAGCAACCGUCUCCACAGCAGAUGCAGCCGGGACCCGGUCCAGGGGGGCCGGGCCCGGGGCCUGCCAUGCCGCAGCAAGACAAGAUGGACAACAUCUCCAAAGUCAAGACAUUGAUGGGAUCCAUAAGAGAAGCCAUACCGACUACCCUGAAGUCAGCUGCUCAAAUUCUACACCAAAAUCACACUACUGACUCAAAUUCACAAAAGGGUGUCACAGACACUCCGGUGUUGAGAUUCGACAAAAAUCUAGAAGAAUUAUAUUCCCUGUGUGAUCAAAUGGAACUUCAUUUGCGUACAGCAGUGACAUGCAUCCAGCAAGCACAAUCUGCAUCACAUUAUCUUCCACUGACCGUGAUUCCCUCUAGACUUGACUCUGGAAGCAGUCAGGAGACGACACUGAGCUACCCCGCUUACCUAAACACGGUGCGGUUGCAAAUCUCAUAUGCGAAGGACAUCCACGACCUGCUGGUGGCCGCUGCACAGAACAUCGCGCCGACUGAAUGACGCGACGCUAUGCCGGCCAGCGAGGACGAAUGACCCGAUACCGAAGAACUCGAACAGAAAAUACGAUCAGUUUCCAAAAAAACAAAAUUUAAAAAUUACAACAGAAAUAC
This 856-nucleotide unclassified non-coding RNA is filed under the name Pectinophora gossypiella (pink bollworm). RNAcentral's name for it is "mediator of RNA polymerase II transcription subunit 29-like". The record is from RNAcentral. Lineage: Eukaryota; Metazoa; Arthropoda; Insecta; Lepidoptera; Gelechiidae.